This 492-nucleotide ribosomal RNA is filed under the name uncultured bacterium. RNAcentral describes it as "partial 16S ribosomal RNA". It matches the Rfam family "Bacterial small subunit ribosomal RNA", at positions 29 to 507 of the family's 1533-position model. The record is from RNAcentral.
AGUGAACGCUGGCGGUAGGCCUAACACAUGCAAGUCGAACGGCAGCACAGUAAGAGCUUGCUCUUACGGGUGGCGAGUGGCGGACGGGUGAGGAAUACAUCGGAAUCUACUUUUUCGUGGGGGAUAACGUAGGGAAACUUACGCUAAUACCGCAUACGACCUACGUGUGAAAGCAGGGGAUCUUCGGACCUUGCGCGAUUGAAUGAGCCGAUGUCGGAUUAGCUAGUUGGCGGGGUAAAGGCCCACCAAGGCGACGAUCCGUAGCUGGUCUGAGAGGAUGAUCAGCCACACUGGAACUGGGACACGGUCCAGACUCCUACGGGAGGCAGCAGUGGGGAAUAUUGGACAAUGGGCGCAAGCCUGAUCCAGCCAUACCGCGUGGGUGAAGAAGGCCUUCGGGUUGUAAAGCCCUUUUGUUGGGAAAGAAAAGCAGCAGGUUAAUACCCCGCUGUUCUGACGGUACCCAAAGAAUAAGCACCGGCUAACUUCGUG